Molecule: ribosomal RNA, 279 nt
Filed under: uncultured bacterium
Lineage: Bacteria
Description: partial 16S ribosomal RNA
Rfam family: Bacterial small subunit ribosomal RNA
Source: RNAcentral
UGCCAGCCGCCGCGGUAAUACGGAGGGGGUUAGCGUUGUUCGGAAUUACUGGGCGUAAAGCGUACGUAGGCGGAUUAUUAAGUGAGGGGUGAAAUCCCAGGGCUCAACCCUGGAACUGCCUCUCAUACUGGUAGUCUUGAGGUCGAGAGAGGUGAGUGGAAUUCCGAGUGUAGAGGUGAAAUUCGUAGAUAUUCGGAGGAACACCAGUGGCGAAGGCGGCUCACUGGCUCGAUACUGACGCUGAGGUACGAAAGUGUGGGGAGCAAACAGGAUUAGAUA